This 297-nucleotide long non-coding RNA is filed under the name Capsicum annuum. RNAcentral describes it as "long non-coding RNA (CANN_LNC002622)". Lineage: Eukaryota; Viridiplantae; Streptophyta; Magnoliopsida; Solanales; Solanaceae. The record is from RNAcentral.
CUCAACUUAACAAUGUCCUUAGUGUCCAAAAUAUCAGCAACAUUGACAUUUGCUUGGACAGCACUGUUCCCAUUACCAUUUGCACUUUCAUCUUUGAUAUUUCCUUUGUGUAAGCCACAUUCCUUGGCCUUUGCAUCCUCCCACCACCACCUUCCUUCUCUCUCGUGUUGCCCAGGCAGGACCGGCCUGGUGCAAGGUUCACAUCCAAUGGAGACAUAACCUUUGGAAUGCAAAGAGUUAACGGGCACAUUCAUCGCACGUAGGAAGUUCCAUAUGUCCUUGCCUUCUACAUUAGCC